GAUCCUGGCUCAGAUUGAACGCUGGCGGCAGGCUUAACACAUGCAAGUCGAACGGUAACAUAAAGAAGCUUGCUUCUUUGAUGACGAGUGGCGGACGGGUGAGUAAUGCUUGGGAAUCUAGCUUAUGGAGGGGGGAUAACUACUGGAAACUGUAGCUAAUACCGCGUAGAAUCGAGAGAUGAAAGUGUGGGACCUUCGGGCCACAUGCCAUAGGAUGAGCCCAAGUGGGAUUAGGUAGG
Molecule: ribosomal RNA, 239 nt
Filed under: uncultured bacterium
Lineage: Bacteria
Description: partial 16S ribosomal RNA
Rfam family: Bacterial small subunit ribosomal RNA
Source: RNAcentral